This is a long non-coding RNA of Alligator mississippiensis (American alligator), 1011 nucleotides long. RefSeq lists it as uncharacterized. The transcript has 2 exons. NCBI's taxonomy places the organism in Eukaryota, Metazoa, Chordata, Crocodylia, Alligatoridae. The record is from RefSeq and is a predicted model, not a curated record.
GCCAGCAGUUGGAGUGGCAGGAGCUCUUGGAGGACUUCGUGUCAUAGGCUGUGUCCAAGAGAGACUGAGUCUGUAGCCUGAUGGUUUGAGAACUCCCGUCAGCCUUAAUAGAGGAUAAAGAAUUGAUUUGGCAACUUUGGCAGAACCACAUCUGGAUUAGUAAACAGCUGUAAACACUGUAACUAACACCAUACAAGAGAAAAAAAAUUGGAUGAAGCAGUCAGAGAACGAGAUGGUUCUGUCUCCAGUGAGGAAGCUGGCCAGCAUCCUGGGCAGGAGGGUGCAGGUGUAGCAGGUGUCCAAGCAGGACAAGUUUCCCAAGAAGAAGUACAUGGGGGUGUGCAGAUGCUGAACAGCUAUAAUGAGUACAGUGAUGAGGACAUUCCCAGCCACGGUUGCAAUGUAGAGUAGGAGAAACAUCAGGAAGAGAAGUAUUUGUAACUCUGGAAGAAUUUCAAAGCCCAGGAGGAUAAAUUCAGUGAUGGACGUUUGAUUUCCUACUUCUGCAUCUGCCAUGGCAGCAGAGAAAUUCCAUACAGCUCUGCAAAAUAAUCCAAAGGAAAUAAACACCUUUGAAUGCUAUUGAAUCAGUCCAUAUCCUGACUUUUCAAGAGACUAAUCUUGCUUGAACGUGACGGAUCCAGGGAGGUGUUCCAAAGCUCCACUCUGGAGGUGAAUACUGCUGCAUAUUCAUUUCUACAACACCUUCAUGUAAGCCAGUGCCUCACGUGUACCAUUAUGAGAUAAGAAAGGGCAAUAUUUGGUAGAUAUGCAAGAACUGUUUUACAAAGAUGUCUAAUCACUGCACCAUGUAGCCUUCACCCUCACGUCCUAACUUCAUAGGGCAGAACAAAGAUUCUUCUAAUCUGAGAAACUUCAGGUUACAAAAUCUGCAAUGCAAAAAGAAAAUGGACAAAUAUUGCAUGUUCUAUAUUUGGCUGCUUUGUAACAUGAAUUAUGAAUUCCAUCUUUUAAUUAAGACAGCUGACAUCAUAAAUCCUACUCAUACUA